GAUGUAGGCCAAGUAAAGACAAAGAUGGUAAUUAUCCUAGGAUGUAGGCCAAGUAAAGACAAAGAUGGUAAUUAUCCUAGGAUGUAGGCCAAGUAAAGACAAAGAUGGUAAUUAUCCUAGGAUGUAGGCCAAGUAAAGUCAAAGAUGGUAAUUAUCCAAGGAUGUAGGCCAAGUAAAGACAAAGAUGGUAAUUAUCCUAGGAUGUAGGCCAAGUAAAGACAAAGAUGGUAAUUAUCCUAGGAUCCAGGCCAAGUAAAGACAAAGAUGGUAAUUAUCCUAGGAUCCAGGCCAAAUAAAGACCAAUAUGGUAAUUAUCCUAGGAUGUAGGCCAAAUAAAGACAUAUGGCAGUGGUUUAUAACUCUUCCAGCAUACACAGUAGAUGUUCAUUCAGCCCUCUUUCUGCAAGCUUGUUGUUAUACAAUUUUGAGACUGAAAUAUUGAUAUUUGAUUCGAGCAAAUACAGUUUGUAGAUACUGUCGGUAAGCAUCAACUUGAAUUAGAUAUAUGUUUUAAUGAAGGUCGAUGUUGAACCAUUGGUGUUAUUUAUCCAUACUCAUUUUAAUUGAUGUCUAAACCAGCUGUAGACGAAGGUGUCUAAUCAUUUGAGUCAGAUGGUGCCUACCCUCGAGUCGGUGAGUUUAAAAUAAAAUAAAAAGUAUUUGUGGUGAAUCAACAAAAAAAAAGUAAGUCUUAGUCCCUCAACACAUCUUUAUUUUACUGUCCUAAUUUAUAAUUCUAGAAAUGUGCAUACAGUCGCUGGGCGACAUUGGCAGUUUAUUUCAAUAUACAGUAUAGAGUUAUAGCCUACCCUAUGCUGCGCAUGCAGAGCGUGCGUCAGACAAUGGUCAUUUAACAUCCAAAGUGAUGGUCUGUUUGGCAGAUUAUAUAAAUGUUGGAAUGUCCUUAAGCAUUGUUCUAAUUUACCUAUACUAGCCUACUUACUUAUACGUACAGUACACCGAGUGUACAAAACGUAAACCGCUGCUUGGGUUUUUCACACUCGGCAGUUUCCCAAGUGUAUCAAGAAUGGUCCAUCACCCAAAGGACAUCCAGCCAAUUUGACACAACUGUGGGAAGCAUUGGAGUCAACAUGGGGGGGUGUAACUCAAUAUUAGGAAGGUGUCCAUAAUGUUUUGUACACUCAGUGUUGUAGUCGAAAAAGACACAUUAUGAUAUUAUUGUUAUUAUUGGAAGUGUUACUAUUACUGAUCUCUUGGUGUUUUCUGUAUUAAUGAAUAUUCAAUAAAUUUUAUGUGUCCAAAAACA
This is a long non-coding RNA of Oncorhynchus tshawytscha (Chinook salmon), 1267 nucleotides long. The record is from Ensembl. NCBI's taxonomy places the organism in Eukaryota, Metazoa, Chordata, Actinopteri, Salmoniformes, Salmonidae.